This is a long non-coding RNA of Gorilla gorilla gorilla (western lowland gorilla), 5958 nucleotides long. RefSeq lists it as uncharacterized. The transcript has 4 exons. The record is from RefSeq and is a predicted model, not a curated record. NCBI's taxonomy places the organism in Eukaryota, Metazoa, Chordata, Mammalia, Primates, Hominidae.
ACAGGCCGCGCCGGCCCCGCCUCCCACGCCACGGCCACUGGCGCCCGCAGGGGCCUCCCGCCGGUUCCCGCAGGGAUGCCAGGCAGGCCCGCACUCGCCCGCGGCCGCUACCUUGUUAGUGGGCACCGAGCGGAGGCGCUUGAAGAUGGUCAAGAUGUCCUGCUUGCUGGGGUCCCCCAUCGUCAGCUGUGAGCCGCGGCGCAGCUGGCCCAGCCAACCGAGACAGAGUGUCCCUGUGUUACCCAAGCUGGAUUAGAACUCCUGGGCUCAAGUGAUCCUCCCACCUCGGCCUCCCAAAGUGCUGGCAUUACAGGCUGGAGUGCAACGGCGCAAUCCUGACUUACUGCAACCUCCGCCUCCCGGGUUCACGCGAUUCUCCUGCCUCAGCCUCCCAACUAGCUGUGAUUACAGGUGCCCACCACCAUGCCCGGCUAAUUUUUUGUAUUUUUAGUAGAAACGGGGUUUUACCAUGUUGGCCAGGCUGGUCUCGAACUCCUGAUCUCAGGUGAUCCACCCACCUCAGCCUCCCAAACUGCUGGGAUUACAGGCAUGAGCCACUGUGCCCGCCAGUCAUCCCUACUUUUCAGCAAAUGAAGCUCAGGCAUUUUCCGUUUGUCUGUGGUCCAGCCUCCUGCCCAGGUGGGGACUCAGGGACACUUCCUACAGGAAGUUGGGGAACGGCUCAAGGAUUGAGCAGUGCUCUGAUCUCUGAGGCCUUAGAGCCUGGGUUGGGAGGCCUGAGACUUCUAAAACCCAGCACACACAUUCUCAGAAGACAACUCCGGCCCUUUGUCUCUGGCUGUCCCAUCAUGGUGUCAGAAUAACACAGGUCCUUCUCUGAGCCUACCAGAGUUUCCCAAGGGCAAGAUUGGCUUCUCUUCAUGUUUGUCCUGGCACUGCUGAGUCUCACACACAGUAUGUGCUCAAUAGAUGCAUGGUGAAUGAAUGACUGCCCAAUGCAUACAUAAGGAGAGCCAGCUGAUCCCCCACCAGGUUGGGCCACUCAGGGGUCAGGCCUUGCUCAGCUUCCCAAACGACGUGGUCUGUGCCCACGGGGAAGUCACUGCUUCCUCUCACUUGUCCUGUUUCCCCGUGAACUACGAGGGGGUUGGUCAGGUGGUCCACACAAGUCCUUCCCAACCUCCCCCAUCCCUAUCCCAAUGGCUUGUGAGCGGGUUCCCUCCAGGCCUAUCCAGUGCCUGAGGCCUUGGCACAGCCCAGGCUGCCCAGUCGGGCCUUCACUACAUGCUUCUGAGUGGACCAAGAUCUGGCAUCAGAGCCCAGAGCAGAGGCCAGCCCUGUUCUCCAUCUGCAGGGACCUCCGAAGGCCCAGUUUUAGCUCAGGCUGCAGCAAAGCCAGAUCCCUACUCCGGUCACUUGGCAGCACUUGCUCACCCUCCCGACAUUUCUGGGGUGUGGGAAGGAUGGAGAUGAUGAAAUACCCUGUCCUGAGCUCCAGGGAGCUUUGGCCCAGGAGAGGGCUCUGGGGCUAACACUCCCCCUAGUGUCAACUCAGGGGCCUUGGGGACCCGAAGAGGUGUGGACAGUUGGUGGCAGCACUGAUCCAGGGUGGUGGCUGUGGGAGGAGCGAAGGACAGCCAUGGACAGCAGAGAACCCUGGGCCCCUGCCUAUGGUGUCACUCAUAAUCGUGACAAUGACCAGCUCCUGAGGGCCUGUGACAUUUUUCUUUUUUUUUGUUUUGAGAUGGAGUCUUGCUCUGUCACCCAGGCUGGAGUGCAGUGGCGCGAUCUCAGUUCACUGCAAGCUCCACCUCCCGGGUUCAUGCCAUUCUCCUGCCUCAGCCUCCUGAGCAGCUGGGACUACAGGUGCCAGGCACCAUGCCCAGCUAAUUUUUUGUAUUUUUAGUAGAGACGGGGUUUCAUCGUGUUAGCCAGGAUUGUCUCGAUCUCCUGACCUCGUGAUCCACCCGCCUCGGCCUCCGAAAGUGCUGGGAUUACAGGUGUGAGCGACCGUGCCCGGCCUUUUUCUUUUUUUGAGACUGUCUCGAGAGCUCUGUCGUCCAGGCUGGAGUGCAGUGGUGCAAUCAUGGCUCACUGCAGCCUCAAAUUCCUGGGCUCAAGCAAUCCUCCUGCCUCAGUCUCCCAAGUAGUUGGGACUGGAUGCAUGCACCACCACACUCGACCAAUUUUUAAACUUUUUGUAGAGACAGGGUCUCACUAUGUUGCCCAGGCCACCUUUUCUUCUUGCUCUAACUCUCCAACUGGAAAAGUAUCACUUCUACUUGGGGAAACUGAGGCCUAGAGACAAGCUGAAGUUUUCAAGCUGGCCCCUGAGGGCAGGGCAGGAGAGGGGAGAUGGGCAGUUAGAGGCCCUGCCAGAUCCCUCACUGGGGGGCCGUGUGAUCCGGCCUCAGAGUGGAGGUUGCUUCAUCCAGCUCAGCGGGGACCGUGGUCUUGCCACGGUGUUUGGGCAGUGACUGAGGCCACCGGCACCAGGAGCCUGCUUCUGACCCCUCACCUUCCCUCCCAACCCCAUUCUGCCUGUCUCUCUGCAGCCUGGGGCUGUGGGCCGAGCCGGGUGUCCGCCCUGCACUGUAGGGCUCCAACUCCUCAGAAGUUGGGAGCAGGGGACCCGCCACCCCUCAGACAAGGAGGCUGGGGGACAAGGAUCUGUCCCAUACCCUUGCUGAGCUGGGACAAAGCCACACUGCAGGGGCAGCUGCCUGCCUUGCUCCUCCCAGGUGCUCUGUGAGGCCCCAUGCCCAGCUGGCGUGCUUUUCUGGGCAGCCUUCCCAGGGCUCGGUGAGCGUGGCCACAGCCGCCCUCACGUCUUGCUUCUCUCCUGUCUUCAAGCCAGUCCAAGCCUCCUCCCUCCUCAGUUUCUCUAGCGAGGGAGGGGGUGGUUCCUCAGGGAUUUCGCUCAGUGCUUUGGGCUGGCUGAGACUCCUCAAGAAACCCUGGCUGGCUCUUGGAGCCUCUGUUUCCUCCUUGGUAGAAUGGAAAUGGGGAGACUGGCCCAUACCCUGUGGAGAUGUUUGGAGACGCAGAUAAUGUAAGUAAAAAGUGGACAGCACACAGUAGGUGCUCAGGAAAAUGUGCUCAUAGGAGAGUUAUGGGUGAUGCCAGUCUUGUCCUGUUGUUUGGGCUGGGGCAAUAGAGAGGCGCCAGCCGAUGCCCGCACCAUGUGGAAGCCCAGGUCAAACAGCAGCAGGUCUCGGGGAGAAGGGAACCCCAAGGGGCUCAGAUGCCUCAAAUCCCCAACCUCCAGUUUGGCAGGGGCAGUGGGCCGUGGCCUUUUGGGCAGGGGUCCUGUGCCCUGGAUCUUGCCCAGCUCCAAAGCUAGUAAGCCCCAGGGAGGCCACCCCCGCCAAGUGAAGUGGGCGUGAAGACAGAUGAUGGCGAAGGGACUUCCAUAUGCAUGAGAUCAACUGUUUAUUGAUUUUUUUCCUCAAAUACUACACAUUUAAAGGAACUGUUAAACUGAAAAAGACUUGACAAUUUUUGGUAAAUCCGUAGCACAGAAAUGAGGAUUUCUGCUGGUAAGUUCUCAGGACAGACACAGACACAGGUCCACUUUCCAAGCAAGACAUCUGCUCACUGGGAACGGAGUGAAUGCAUAGCUGGUGACGGCGGCGGGCACUGCUGAGUCACAUGAAACACAGGUUCCCCCACGGUCCCCCCACCCCCGCCGGCCCGCGUGGCCCCCGCGUAACUCUGGCUGCAGCACCUGCUCCCGGGCGACUCUGGGCAGCCCGAGACACUCGUGCUGCGGGUAAGACCCAGCUUCUGUUUGUGCACAAGUAACACGACGACUGAAAUCUGCAACUACUGCAAAGACGCGGGCACUUUUACAGCGUUCUGCUACGGAGCCAGGACAAAGGCCGGUCAGAAGCUGGACCAGCAGUCAGCUGGUGACGACGAGCCUCCCUCCAGCAGGCACCACGUCAGAGAGGCCCCAGGCCCACUGAGCCCGGGAAGAGACCCAGCCGGCCAACCAGACGUGUGCCUGAAUGCCACAGACUUCAAGCAGUUUACAAACGAAACUCACUGUUAAAAGCUGUUAAAUCUCAUUAAAACAGUAGACGAGUGCUUUAGAUUCUCUGAAUAUCAAAUAAUAUAUACAGAUAGACACUGAGACAUGACAGUCUAAUCUAAAGCAUCUUUACAGAUGCAUUUGCUUGAAAAGUUAGUCUUCUUUUUAACUCUGAAUCAGUGAUAAAAUUGUUAAUUUGCAAAAGAGUACAGUUUUAAGCAAGAAUAGAGUGAAAAUAAUUUUUAAAUAUGGCGAUUUGGGGGAGUUCUACCUAAGGUUCUAUGUAAAGCUUCCAUUCAGAUGCCCAAAAGCACAAAGAGCAUUCCCAAUAGAAACCCGACCAUAACCCGGUCCCACCUUCCUGGCAUAAUUCCUUUCCUCAAACAUCUGCCACCUGAGGCUAAGCCUACACACGGCGUGGCUGAGUAACAGGGCAUGGGAAUAGGGAGAUCGUUUCCUCAAGACUGGUGCGCAUCAAUCUGUGCCAUAAUUUAAGUAGAAAUGAACAGGUGUAUAAAAAAGUAUAACUGUACACAGCCUUUAAAUUAAAAACCUCAAAAUCUUCACUCAAAAUGGGAUGUAAGCUUGUUCAUUUAAGUUGCAGGUGAUGGACUCGUCAGAGAGAGUAAUCAGUGGAACGAGAUCAGUGUAACCCACCAUUGACUCGGAAAGGAGAGACAAAGUCAAGAACAUAGAGAUCUAUGAUAGGCCAACAGGCACAGUGGGCGGGGAGGGGCGGCUAUUUCUGUUGUUCUGCGUCUUCCUGCACUCAGAUCCCUCCAGCUGCACUCGGAAAGGUGCCGAGUCCCAGGCGAAAUGACCAGCUCAUCUGCCUUCCAGGAACACCAUGAAGCCAAGAGCAAUGGAACCAUCAUCUCUUGCAGGAAAAGGAGUGGAUGCCCAUGUGGCUGGCUGAGGCUCCUGGGCCUGCCGCCUCCGUCCCCCCGCUGGCCUGUCCCCGGCUCAUCACUGGAUCGCCUCCACAUAAUUUGCCGGGUAUAGGCCAACUUGCCCGUUGUCCAAGCGUCCCUUGCACCAGCCCUGCUCAUCCUCGUCCUCCAUCUUGGUCAGCUCAUCCCCUGCAAGACAAAGAGGGAGCCGUCUCCAUGAGAGGAAUUAGAAGCAGUUUUCCCCCCGGUUUAGCAUUUCCCUGAUGCUUUGGAUUUUGUAUGGCAGCAAUGCUGGUCAAGAUGCCUGCGGAGAUAAUACCUGGGGCUUCCAGUGCUCCCCGGACUGCCUGGGCUCAAAUCCCAGAGCCACCACUCACUGGCUGGGAGACCUGGACCAACUGCGUCCACUCCCUGGGCCUGUGGCCCUCAUCUGUGGACUGGGGGUGCUGUGAAGAUUAAGUGUUAAGACACUAAAGAACCCUGAGAGGGCGGGACAUGCAUAAGCACUGGCUCAGCCUCCCACUGUCGUGCCGCUUCUGCCAGACCAGUGCGCCUGCAGAUCUAACCCAGAGGCAUCAGGAGCAGAUGCAGGGGCCACAGGGCAGCAGCCACGAUGAACCACCAUCUCUUUCCACCGCUUCGUGCCUCGGACCCCUGGCGUUUCUUUUGUCCUGCCUUCACUGGUUGCUGUGCUCUCACAGGCCUGGAUCCAGGCUACCGAGGCUAGGAUGAGGCCUGUAACCCCACACUACCAUGUGGCAAACAGCCAGAACACCGCAAGAGACGUAAGUCAAGCCACACUGGCUGGGAGCUAAUUUUGCAUUGUUAAAAAGCAGGAUAACACAGAAAAUAGAACGGACAGGAAAGCUUUCACAUUGUGCAAAUGUGAACUGGUGAUUAGAAGGUUCAUUUCAAUCAGUUUGCUUUUGACAAUUUACUUGGAUCUGGAAGAAACAUUUUAAAUCUACAAAAUUACUGUCAAACCCAAUAGGCAGGAUUGAAAAGGAGUUAGAAAUUAUAAACAAAUAAACCAACAAAGUCGGGGGUAACAACCCCAACCAAAGAUAUCAGAAA